RNAcentral lists this ribosomal RNA (447 nucleotides) under uncultured bacterium. RNAcentral's name for it is "bacterial SSU rRNA". It matches the Rfam family "Bacterial small subunit ribosomal RNA", at positions 335 to 799 of the family's 1533-position model. The record is from RNAcentral.
ACUCCUACGGGAGGCAGCAGUGGGGAAUAUUGCACAAUGGGCGCAAGCCUGAUGCAGCAACGCCGCGUGAGCGAUGAAGGCCUUCGGGUCGUAAAGCUCUGUCCUCAAGGAAGAAUAAAUGACGGUACUUGAGGAGGAAGCCCCGGCUAACUACGUGCCAGCAGCCGCGGUAAUACGUAGGGGCAAGCGUUAUCCGGAAUCACUGGGCGUAAAGGGUGCGUAGGCGGUUUUUCAAGUCAGAAGUGAAAGGCUAUGGCUCAACCAUAGUAAGCUUUUGAAACUGUUAAACUUGAGUGCAGGAGAGGAAAGUGGAAUUCCUAGUGUAGAGGUGAAAUUCGUAGAUAUUAGGAGGAACACCAGUGGCGAAGGCGACUUUCUGGACUGUAACUGACGCUGAGGCACGAAAGCGUGGGAGCGAACAGGAUUAGAUACCCUGGUAGCACAGAG